Molecule: ribosomal RNA, 253 nt
Filed under: uncultured bacterium
Lineage: Bacteria
Description: partial 16S ribosomal RNA
Rfam family: Bacterial small subunit ribosomal RNA
Source: RNAcentral
UACGUAGGGUGCAAGCGUUAAUCGGAAUUACUGGGCGUGAAGCGUGCGCAGGCGGUCUUGCAAGACAGAUGUGAAAUCCCCGGGCUCAACCUGGGAACUGCAUUUGUGACUGCAAGGCUGGAGUACGGCAGAGGGGGAUGGAAUUCCGCGUGUAGCAGUGAGAUGCGUAGAUAUGCGGAGGAACACCGAUGGCGAAGGCAGCCCCCUGGACCUGUACUGACGCUCAUGCACGAAAGCAUGGGGAGCAAACAGG